Molecule: transfer RNA, 66 nt
Filed under: Campanile symbolicum
Lineage: Eukaryota; Metazoa; Mollusca; Gastropoda; Campanilidae
Description: tRNA-Leu
Source: RNAcentral
GUAGAGAUGGCAGAUGAAGUGCAGUAGGUUUAGGCCCUAAAUAUGGGAGUGUACUCUCUCUUUACU